CCUACGGGAGGCAGCAGUGGGGGAUAUUGCACAAUGGGGGAAACCCUGAUGCAGCGACGCCGCGUGAGUGAAGAAGUAUUUCGGUAUGUAAAGCUCUAUCAGCAGGGAAGAAAAUGACAGUACCUGACCAAGAAGCCCCGGCUAACUACGUGCCAGCAGCCGCGGUAAUACGUAGGGGGCAAGCGUUAUCCGGAUUUACUGGGUGUAAAGGGAGCGUAGACGGCAGCACAAGUCUGGAGUGAAAUCCCGGGGCUUAACCCCGGAACUGCUUUGGAAACUGUGCGGCUGGAGUGCAGGAGGGGUAAGCGGAAUUCCUAGUGUAGCGGUGAAAUGCUUAGAUAUUAGGAGGAACACCGGUGGCGAAGGCGGCUUACUGGACUGUAACUGACGUUGAGGCUCGAAAGCGUGGGGAGCAAACAGGAUUAGAUACCCGGGUAGUC
This 440-nucleotide ribosomal RNA is filed under the name uncultured bacterium. Its description in RNAcentral is "partial 16S ribosomal RNA". It matches the Rfam family "Bacterial small subunit ribosomal RNA", at positions 338 to 795 of the family's 1533-position model. The record is from RNAcentral.